GACGAACGCUGGCGGCGUGCUUAACACAUGCAAGUCGAACGGAAAGGCCCUGCUUUUGUGGGGUGCUCGAGUGGCGAACGGGUGAGUAACACGUGAGUAACCUGCCCUUGACUUUGGGAUAACUUCAGGAAACUGGGGCUAAUACCGGAUAGGAGCUCCUGCUGCAUGGUGGGGGUUGGAAAGUUUCGGCGGUUGGGGAUGGACUCGCGGCUUAUCAGCUUGUUGGUGGGGUAGUGGCUUACCAAGGCUUUGACGGGUAGCCGGCCUGAGAGGGUGACCGGCCAAAUUGGGAAUGGGAUACGGCCCCGACUCCUACGGGAGGCAGCAGUGGGGAAUAUUGCACAAUGGGCGGAAGCCUGAUGCAGCAACGCCGCGUGCGGGAUGACGGCCUUCGGGUUGUAAACCGCUUUCGCCUGUGACGAAGCGUGAGUGACGGUAAUGGGUAAAGAAGCACCGGCUAACUACGUG
This 468-nucleotide ribosomal RNA is filed under the name uncultured bacterium. RNAcentral's name for it is "partial 16S ribosomal RNA". It matches the Rfam family "Bacterial small subunit ribosomal RNA", at positions 28 to 507 of the family's 1533-position model. The record is from RNAcentral.